This 253-nucleotide ribosomal RNA is filed under the name uncultured bacterium. RNAcentral's name for it is "partial 16S ribosomal RNA". It matches the Rfam family "Bacterial small subunit ribosomal RNA", at positions 524 to 776 of the family's 1533-position model. The record is from RNAcentral.
UACGGGGGGGGCAAGCGUUGUUCGGAAUCACUGGGCUUAAAGGGCGCGUAGGCGGUGCGGUAAGUCACCUGUGAAACCUCUAGGCUUAACCUAGAGCCUGCAGGCGAAACUGCCGUGCUUGAGGGUGGGAGAGGUGCGUGGAAUUCCCGGUGUAGCGGUGAAAUGCGUUGAUAUCGAGAGGAACACCUGCGGCGAAGGCGGGUUGCUGGGCUGACACUGACGCUGAUGCGCGAAAGCCAGGGGAGCGAACGGG